This 446-nucleotide ribosomal RNA is filed under the name bacterium WCE2012. RNAcentral's name for it is "bacterial SSU rRNA". It matches the Rfam family "Bacterial small subunit ribosomal RNA", at positions 28 to 455 of the family's 1533-position model. The record is from RNAcentral.
GAUGAACGCUGGCGGCGUGCUUAACACAUGCAAGUCGAACGAAGCAACUUGUCACGAUCCCUUCGGGGUGACGACUUGUUGACUGAGUGGCGGACGGGUGAGUAACGCGUGGGUAACCUACCUUGUACAGGGGGAUAACAGUUGGAAACGACUGCUAAUACCGCAUAAGCGCACAACAUCGCAUGACGCAGUGUGAAAAGUUUUUUCGGUAUAAGAUGGACCCGCGUCUGAUUAGCUAGUUGGUGAGGUAACGGCCCACCAAGGCGACGAUCAGUAGCCGACCUGAGAGGGUGACCGGCCACAUUGGGACUGAGACACGGCCCAAACUCCUACGGGAGGCAGCAGUGGGGAAUAUUGCACAAUGGGCGAAAGCCUGAUGCAGCGACGCCGCGUGAGCGAAGAAGUAUUUCGGUAUGUAAAGCUCUAUCAGCAGGGAAGAUAAUGAC